CGUAACAAGGUCUCCGUAGGUGAACCUGCGGAGGGAUCAUUACACAAUAACCAGGCGGGCUGGACACCCCCCGCCGGGCACUGCUUCACGGCGUGCGCGGCGGGGCCGGCCCUGCUGAAUUAUUCACCCGUGUCUUUUGCGUACUUCUUGUUUCCUGGGUGGGCUCGCCCGCCCUCAGGACCAACCACAAACCUUUUGCAAUAGCAAUCAGCGUCAGUAACAACGUAAUUAAUUACAACUUUCAACAACGGAUCUCUUGGUUCUGGCAUCGAUGAAGAACGCAGCGAAAUGCGAUACGUAGUGUGAAUUGCAGAAUUCAGUGAAUCAUCGAAUCUUUGAACGCACAUUGCGCCCUUUGGUAUUCCAAAGGGCAUGCCUGUUCGAGCGUCAUUUGUACCCUCAAGCUUUGCUUGGUGUUGGGCGUCUUUUGUCUCCAGUUCGCUGGAGACUCGCCUUAAAGUCAUUGGCAGCCGGCCUACUGGUUUCGGAGCGCAGCACAAGUCGCGCUCUUUGCCAGCCAAGGUCAGCGUCCAGCAAGCCUUUUUUUCAACCUUUGACCUCGGAUCAGGUAGGGAUACCCGCUGAACUUAAGCAUA
Molecule: ribosomal RNA, 596 nt
Filed under: uncultured fungus
Lineage: Eukaryota; Fungi
Description: eukaryotic LSU rRNA
Rfam family: 5.8S ribosomal RNA (bases 237-390)
Source: RNAcentral